RNAcentral lists this ribosomal RNA (253 nucleotides) under uncultured bacterium. RNAcentral's name for it is "partial 16S ribosomal RNA". It matches the Rfam family "Bacterial small subunit ribosomal RNA", at positions 524 to 776 of the family's 1533-position model. The record is from RNAcentral.
UACAUGGGGUGCAAACGUUGCUCGGAAUCAUUGGGCGUAAAGCGCGCGUAGGCGGUUACUUAAGUUGGAUGUGAAAGCCCUCGGCUUAACCGAGGAAGUGCAUCCAAAACUGAGUAGCUAGAGUACGAAAGAGGGUCGCGGAAUUCCCGGUGUAGAGGUGAAAUUCGUAGAUAUCGGGAGGAACACCAGUGGCGAAGGCGGCGACCUGGACGGACACUGACGCUGAGACGCGAAAGCGUGGGGAGCAAACAGG